This 185-nucleotide ribosomal RNA is filed under the name uncultured Bifidobacterium sp. Its description in RNAcentral is "partial 16S ribosomal RNA". It matches the Rfam family "Bacterial small subunit ribosomal RNA", at positions 334 to 526 of the family's 1533-position model. Lineage: Bacteria; Bacillati; Actinomycetota; Actinomycetes; Bifidobacteriales; Bifidobacteriaceae. The record is from RNAcentral.
UACUCCUACGGGAGGCAGCAGUGGGGAAUAUUGCACAAUGGGCGCAAGCCUGAUGCAGCGACGCCGCGUGAGGGAUGGAGGCCUUCGGGUUGUAAACCUCUUUUGUUAGGGAGCAAGGCACUUUGUGUUGAGUGUACCUUUCGAAUAAGCACCGGCUAACUACGUGCCAGCAGCCGCGGUAAUAA